AAUAGGCUGUCACUUUCCAUCCUUGACUUUGGACAAGUCACUUGACCUCCGUUUACUCUUCUCUAUAAAUUGAUUGGUCUAAAUGACCUAUGAUGUCACUUCUACCUCAAAAAUUAUGAUGCUCUGAAUUCCUAAAACCAGGUCACUUUACUGUCUCUUCCUCUCCAACUUCUAACUAGGACUGGUCCUUAUACCUUCUAAAUGGGAUGGAAGAAAAGGGGAAUGAUCCAACUAUAUAGAUUACCAGGGAGAUGGAGCACAACAUCCUUCAGGCACUAUUUGGGUUUUUUGAGAAGAUGCUCCCAAGACUUUUUGCAUGUGCACACUCAAAUGAAGAUCUCCAUAAGACUACCAGAAAACUAAAUCCUGGAGAUAUGGUAUAAAUUGAUGAAGGUAUAACGAUGAGAUAAUAGCAACACUUGAACCCAAGAUUCCUGACUCGCAGUCCCUGCUGCUUUAGACUGGAGACUUCUAAGAUGACCCUAGAGAUACUGAAAGAGGAAUGCUAUAGUCAUUUGAAUUUAUGGAAUAAAUUCAGGCAGGAGUAUAGCAUGGUGUAUAAUGGAAAAUGAACUUGAUUUCAAAGGUAAGUCAAAUCAGAAGCUACUUCUUGUUCAGUAACUCCAGACCUUAGGGAAUCUGCUAGUCAUUGUCACAUUCAUGAAAAUAAAAUCGGAGAUUUAGAAAUCGAAGGACCCCAGAAAUUAUCUAAUCCAAUGCUCUCAUUUUAUAGGCAAGAAAAUGUAGACUCACAAGGUAAAGGAACAAUAAAUAAGCAGGCAUAUGGAUUUGUUCAGAAUUACCCCUAUAUGUAUUCAGCAUUCUUGCUAUGAUGGGAAUGAUUAGAAUCCAGAGCCUGUCUGGGAUGAGGGCAGCUUUCUCACCUUAAAGGACCCUCUGCUUGCUAUAAACAUUGUUGCUGUUGUGCUGAUUUCUUUCUUUCAAUUUUAUCUCAUUUUCUGCCACUUCAAUAGGGCUGUGGCAUAGAAAGAAAUUGGUACGACUAGCCAAACUAGAGUCUGAGGCCAUUCCUGGUUUUAUUUUGGACAAUCUCACAAGUUUGUUCCAUGGUCACUUUGCAGAGAACUUAGUUCCUCUUGAGAUCAGGUGGGUUUUCUUGUCCCCUUUUUCUUGUUCCAUGGAGGUUCCUCAUCCUCCUUACAAACUAGAAUCACUUGAUGCAGACAUGGGGAUGGGGAUGGGGGAGGAGUCUUUUGGACACUUUGGUUUUUAAUCUGUUUAGUCACAGGUUGGUAAGAGUAGUGAAACACAAAAGUUAUAUUUUAAACCCUCAGAUAAUCGAUUCUUAAACUCCACCACUGACCAUCAUCAUGUCAAUGGGGCCAAAGAAGGAAGAUUCAUUUGGAAAGACAUUUUCAUUUUUUAAUUUAUGUAGUCAGUAUUUAUUUUUCAUUUUGCUUGACUAUAUUUAAUUGUUUAUUUUUUAUUAGUUUGUUGCUUACAUUGAAAUUUCCAAGUAUCUCACUCAGAUGCUUUUAUUUUAGCCAUA
This is a non-coding RNA of Monodelphis domestica (gray short-tailed opossum), 1510 nucleotides long. The record is from RefSeq and is a predicted model, not a curated record. Lineage: Eukaryota; Metazoa; Chordata; Mammalia; Didelphimorphia; Didelphidae.